UGUUUAUGUAGCGAUAACUGUCCAAGUCUGCAGUCGAGCGACAGAUAAGGAGCUUGCUCCUUUGACGUUAGCGGCGGACGGGUGAGUAACACGUGGGUAACCUACCUAUAAGACUGGGAUAACUUCGGGAAACCGGAGCUAAUACCGGAUAACAUUUGGAACCGCAUGGUUCUAAAGUGAAAGAUGGUUUUGCUAUCACUUAUAGAUGGACCCGCGCCGUAUUAGCUAGUUGGUAAGGUAACGGCUUACCAAGGCGACGAUACGUAGCCGACCUGAGAGGGUGAUCGGCCACACUGGAACUGAGACACGGUCCAGACUCCUACGGGAGGCAGCAGUAGGGAAUCUUCCGCAAUGGGCGAAAGCCUGACGGAGCAACGCCGCGUGAGUGAUGAAGGGUUUCGGCUCGUAAAACUCUGUUAUUAGGGAAGAACAAAUGUGUAAGUAACUGUGCACGUCUUGACGGUACCUAAUCAGAAAGCCACGGCUAACUACGUGCCAGCAGCCGCGGUAAUACGUAGGUGGCAAGCGUUAUCCGGAAUUAUUGGGCGUAAAGCGCGCGUAGGCGGUUUCUUAAGUCUGAUGUGAAAGCCCACGGCUCAACCGUGGAGGGUCAUUGGAAACUGGGAAACUUGAGUGCAGAAGAGGAAAGUGGAAUUCCAUGUGUAGCGGUGAAAUGCGCAGAGAUAUGGAGGAACACCAGUGGCGAAGGCGACUUUCUGGUCUGUAACUGACGCUGAUGUGCGAAAGCGUGGGGAUCAAACAGGAUUAGAUACCCUGGUAGUCCACGCCGUAAACGAUGAGUGCUAGGUGUUAGGGGGUUUCCGCCCCUUAGUGCUGCAGCUAACGCAUUAAGCACUCCGCCUGGGGAGUUACGACCGCAAGGUUGAAACUCAAAGGAAUUUGACGGGGACCCGCACAAGCGGUGGAGCAUGGUGGUUUAAUUCGAAGCAACGCGAAGAACCUUACCAAAUCUUGACAUCCUUUGAAAACUCUAGAGAUAGAGCCUUCCCCUUCGGGGGACAAAGUGACAGGUGGUGCAUGGUUGUCGUCAGCUCGUGUCGUGAGAUGUUGGGUUAAGUCCCGCAACGAGCGCAACCCUUAAGCUUAGUUGCCAUCAUUAAGUUGGGCACUCUAGGUUGACUGCCGGUGACAAACCGGAGGAAGGUGGGGAUGACGUCAAAUCAUCAUGCCCCUUAUGAUUUGGGCUACACACGUGCUACAAUGGACAAUACAAAGGGCAGCUAAACCGCGAGGUCAUGCAAAUCCCAUAAAGUUGUUCUCAGUUCGGAUUGUAGUGUGCAACUCGACUACAUGAAGCUGGAAUCGCUAGUAAUCGUAGAUCAGCAUGCUACGGUGAAUACGUUCCCGGGUCUUGUACACACCGCCCGUCACACCACGAGAGUUUGUAACACCCGAAGCCGGGGAGUAACCAUUAUGAGCUGCCGAGGCGACAGAUAGAGUGAAACUGA
RNAcentral lists this ribosomal RNA (1469 nucleotides) under Staphylococcus saprophyticus. Its description in RNAcentral is "bacterial SSU rRNA". It matches the Rfam family "Bacterial small subunit ribosomal RNA". Lineage: Bacteria; Bacillati; Bacillota; Bacilli; Caryophanales; Staphylococcaceae. The record is from RNAcentral.